This 404-nucleotide unclassified non-coding RNA is filed under the name soil metagenome. RNAcentral's name for it is "partial contains 5.8S ribosomal RNA, internal transcribed spacer 2, and large subunit ribosomal RNA". The stretch from base 1 to 121 matches the Rfam family "5.8S ribosomal RNA", at positions 35 to 154 of the family's 154-position model. The record is from RNAcentral.
GAUGAAGAACUCAGCGAAAUGUGAUAAGUAAUGUGAAUUGCAGAAUUCAGUGAAUCAUCGAAUCUUUGAACGCACCUUGCGCCCUUUGGCUAUUCCGAAGGGCAUGCCUGUUUGAGUAUCAUGAACACCUCAACUCUCAUGGUUUGCCAUGAUGAGCUUGGACUUUGGGGGUCUUGCCGGCCUAUGGGUCGGCUCCUCUCAAAUUAAUCAGCUUGCCAGUGUUUGGUGGCAUCACAGGUGUGAUAACUAUCUACGCUUGUGGUUUUCCAUCAGGUAACCUUCAGUGAUGGAGGUUCGCUGGGGCUCAUAAAUGUCUCUCCUCAGUGAGGACAGCUUUUUUGAACGUUUGAUCUCAAAUCAGGUAGGACUACCCGCUGAACUUAAGCAUAUCAAUAAGCGGAGGA